UCAUUAGUUGCUACGCAAGGGCACUCUAAUGAGACUGCGGUGGACAAACCGGAGGAAGGUGGGAGUGACGUCAAGUCCUCAUGGCCCUUAUGGGUAGGGCUUCACACGUCAUACAAUGGUCGGUACAGAGGGUUGCCAAGCCGCGAGGCGGAGCCAAUCCCACAAAGCCGAUCGUAGUCCGGAUUGUUCUCUGCAACUCGAGAGCAUGAAGUCGGAAUCGCUAGUAAUCGCAGGUCAGCAUACUGCGGUGAAUACGUUCCCGGGUCUU
This 268-nucleotide ribosomal RNA is filed under the name uncultured Thiobacillus sp. RNAcentral's name for it is "partial 16S ribosomal RNA". It matches the Rfam family "Bacterial small subunit ribosomal RNA", at positions 1108 to 1382 of the family's 1533-position model. The record is from RNAcentral. Lineage: Bacteria; Pseudomonadati; Pseudomonadota; Betaproteobacteria; Nitrosomonadales; Thiobacillaceae.